UGACAGAGAGAGAGAGCACGC
RNAcentral lists this microRNA (21 nucleotides) under Picea abies (Norway spruce). RNAcentral describes it as "pab-miR535b". Its record names the gene pab-miR535b. The record is from miRBase by way of RNAcentral. Lineage: Eukaryota; Viridiplantae; Streptophyta; Pinopsida; Pinales; Pinaceae.